GUGGGGAAUCUUGCGCAAUGGGCGAAAGCCUGACGCAGCCAUGCCGCGUGAAUGAUGAAGGUCUUAGGAUUGUAAAAUUCUUUCACCGGGGACGAUAAUGACGGUACCCGGAGAAGAAGCUCCGGCUAACUUCGUGCCAGCAGCCGCGGUAAUACGAAGGGGGCUAGCGUUGCUCGGAAUUACUGGGCGUAAAGGGCGCGUAGGCGGACAUUUAAGUCAGGGGUGAAAUCCCGGGGCUCAACCUCGGAACUGCCUUUGAUACUGGGUGUCUUGAGUAUGAGAGAGGUGUGUGGAACUCCGAGUGUAGAGGUGAAAUUCGUAGAUAUUCGGAAGAACACCAGUGGCGAAGGCGACACACUGGCUCAUUACUGACGCUGAGGCGCGAAAGCGUGGGGAGCAAACAGGAUUAGAAACCCUGUAGUCC
RNAcentral lists this ribosomal RNA (424 nucleotides) under uncultured bacterium. RNAcentral's name for it is "partial 16S ribosomal RNA". It matches the Rfam family "Bacterial small subunit ribosomal RNA", at positions 354 to 796 of the family's 1533-position model. The record is from RNAcentral.